CACUACGAAGCUUAGAGCGUUAGCCUUUUAAGUUAAAGUUAGGGACCCCAAAUCUCCGUAGUGA
This 64-nucleotide transfer RNA is filed under the name Dicrostonyx torquatus (Arctic lemming). RNAcentral's name for it is "tRNA-Lys". The record is from RNAcentral. Lineage: Eukaryota; Metazoa; Chordata; Mammalia; Rodentia; Cricetidae.